RNAcentral lists this long non-coding RNA (866 nucleotides) under Homo sapiens (human). Its description in RNAcentral is "HSALNT0377191". The record is from RNAcentral. Lineage: Eukaryota; Metazoa; Chordata; Mammalia; Primates; Hominidae.
AGUUGCUACUAUUCUAAUCGCAAAGUCAAGAGUUCCUUCUUUUCUUAGCUGCCUUCAGUGCCACAGAACUAUCUGGGCCUCUUCCUCUACCCCUCCUUGUGUGAUCGCUCCUUUCAAAAGCAACAGCCAAAGCAGAUGCAAGGGAGAUGCAUUGGUGCUCAUAAAUUCAAGGAGCUGAAAUGGCAACAGCUGUGGCAAUUUCAGGAUUUCAGCAGGUAAUCAAUGCAAACUGGGGUGCUGUCAAGCAGCCUGGUGCUUAAAGGGCAGAGCCAGGAUGGACCCAGAUUCUGGUUUCCACCAUGUGCCUGAUGGAUACCAUGCGGAUGUGGAGCAGGAAACACUGGGUGCAAAUCCCCACCAGGAACUGUUCAUCCUGAAAAAAACCUGCUGCACAUUGCCCUGGUCACCUCAACGAAAAAUGGGUCAAAAUCAAAGUUGAUGAUCAGUCAUAUGAUCUUCAGCAGCCCUGGAAGGGUGUGAGUUCUCGGCAUCCCAUGCAGGAGCUCUGAAUGUACAAGAGGUGCUGAGGAGGGAGCAUGCGCCGGUGCCAAACGCUGGAUGACCUCACUAUCCUCAUGGAAAAGGAGGUGAAUACCACUGCCUUCUUUCUGUGUCCAAGCAAGUUAUGACUGGAAUGGAAAGUAUAGCCACCCGGGGCUGUCAGUACCCCUACCUACUCAAUUGCAGACAUGUUGAUACAGAACAUGAUCAUCGAAUUCCAGUGAAGCCACAGUGAUGGGAGUCCAGCAAGAGUAAAAGCAAGUAGAAGGAAGAAGCCCAGAAAAACCAAAGCGCCUAAGGCCCAUGAAAGCUGUAAUGACUCCUUACCAUGAAGACAUAAGUGAUCCUUAAAUUUGCUAAUGAAG